This is a non-coding RNA of Acanthosepion pharaonis, 114 nucleotides long. The record is from the annotation of a GenBank genome assembly. Lineage: Eukaryota; Metazoa; Mollusca; Cephalopoda; Sepiida; Sepiidae.
UUACGGCCACAUCACGUUGAAACAUCGGUUCCCGUAUGAUCAUUGCAGUUAAGCAACGUCGAGCCUGGUCAGUACCUAGAUGGUUGCUCGUUUGGGAAUACCAGGUGCUGUAAU